GACAGAGGGUGCAAGCGUUGUUCGGAAUUAUUGGGCGUAAAGGGCGCGUAGGUGGCCAAGUAAGUCAGACGUGAAAGCCCAGGGCUUAACCCUGGAAGUGCAUCUGAUACUGCAUGGCUUGAGUCUCGGAGAGGGUUGCGGAAUUCCCAGUGUAGAGGUGAAAUUCGUAGAUAUUGGGAGGAACACCAGUGGCGAAGGCGGCAACCUGGACGAAGACUGACACUGAGGCGCGAAAGCGUGGGGAGCAAACAGG
This 253-nucleotide ribosomal RNA is filed under the name uncultured bacterium. Its description in RNAcentral is "partial 16S ribosomal RNA". It matches the Rfam family "Bacterial small subunit ribosomal RNA", at positions 524 to 776 of the family's 1533-position model. The record is from RNAcentral.